Thermobifida fusca YX is the source of this 92-nucleotide non-coding RNA. NCBI's taxonomy places the organism in Bacteria, Bacillati, Actinomycetota, Actinomycetes, Streptosporangiales, Nocardiopsidaceae. The record is from Rfam.
UGACACCACACGGGAGAGACUCCGCGCCGCGGAGCGCCGACGGGGCAACCCUCCCCAGCAACCUCUCAGGCACCAAGGACCGUGUGGGAUAG